GACAGCAGCCGCCGCGGGAAUACGUAGGGUGCGAGCGUUAAUCGGAAUUACUGGGCGUAAAGCGUGCGCAGGCGGCUUUGUAAGACAGGCGUGAAAUCCCCGGGCUCAACCUGGGAAUGGCGCUUGUGACUGCAAAGCUAGAGUGCGGCAGAGGGGGAUGGAAUUCCGCGUGUAGCAGUGAAAUGCGUAGAUAUGCGGAGGAACACCGAUGGCGAAGGCAAUCCCCCGGGCCUGCACUGACGCUCAUGCACGAAAGCGUGGGGAGCAAACAGGAUUAGAUACCCCGGUAGUCCCUGUCUCUUAUAC
RNAcentral lists this ribosomal RNA (306 nucleotides) under uncultured bacterium. Its description in RNAcentral is "partial 16S ribosomal RNA". It matches the Rfam family "Bacterial small subunit ribosomal RNA", at positions 507 to 807 of the family's 1533-position model. The record is from RNAcentral.